GAAAAAUGAUGAACAACUCAAAUAAAAUAUAUAAUGGAAAGAAUCUAAAUUAGUUGACAUGAUGAAUAUGUCUGAAUUUUUAUUAUAUUCACUUUCACACAGGACUGUUGUCUAUCUAUGUGGGGAUCACAGUUUAUAUAUAUAUCAAUGAUAAAAUAAGGGAAAUGUAUUGGAAACAAUAAACAAUGAAGUUCUGAGAAGAAGGGAUUUUUCUAAAUUACUAUUUUUGUCUUUUCAUGGAAAUACUAAUAGUCAUUUGCUUUAAUUUUUGGCAAACAAAUAGAGUUAAAUAUUUUGGUAAUUUACAUUUGUCCAUUUUCUGGCAUGCUUAAUUGAUGCUAUUUGCAUUUGUUUGUUAUUUUUUUUAUUGCUGGUAUUGAUUAUUACAAGUAAUUUGAACAAUUUGCUUAAAGUUAGUAAAAAAAUUCUCUUUUGCACUAUUCAUUGGGAGGUGGACUUGACUGACAAUUUUGAAAUUCUAGAAGCAACUUUUGCUUUCUCAAGUUUUUUUAUUUCUGCAUUUUAGAAAUUGAAACAUCAUUAUGAGAACGAAUACAAGUAUUUAUGAUUGUUCUGGUAGUGGGGAGAAAAGAUAACAGAGCACUGGAGUUGUUAAAGCAUGGUUAUGAUGCGUACUUCAAAAUUAAAUUUCUGUGUUGUUAAUUUGGACUUCUCUACAAUGUAGAAAUGCUAGAAUUUUCAUGAUUUCUUAAUACAAUCUCCUUGGAAAUCAUUAUGGGAGUUUUACUUCAGGAAUGUGCCACUUGAGGCAUGC
RNAcentral lists this unclassified non-coding RNA (775 nucleotides) under Hevea brasiliensis (rubber tree). The record is from RNAcentral. Lineage: Eukaryota; Viridiplantae; Streptophyta; Magnoliopsida; Malpighiales; Euphorbiaceae.